AGAGUUUGAUCCUGGCUCAGAACGAACGCUGGCGGUAUGCCUAAUACAUGCAAGUCGAACGCGAAAGUUCAGCAAUGGAAGAGUAGAGUGGCGCACGGGUGAGUAACACGUGGGUGACCUUCCCUUUUGACUGGGAUAACCCUGAGAAAUCGGGGCUAAUACCGGGUAAGAACAACGGUUUUGAAUAUAGUUGUUGAAAGUAGUGCCUCUAUUUAUAAGCACUAGCUGAAGGAUGGGCCUGCGGGGUAUUAGCUAGUUGGUAAGGUAAUGGCUUACCAAGGCUACGAUACCUAGCUGAUCUGAGAGGAUGAUCAGCCACACUGGAACUGAGACACGGUCCAGACUCCUACGGGAGGCAGCAGUAGGGAAUAUUGCGCAAUGGGCGAAAGCCUGACGCAGCAAUACCGCGUGAGUGAGGAAGGCCUUCGGGUUGUAAAGCUCUGUCGGGGUGGAAAAACGGCUAUUGGUCGAACAGGCCAAUAGAGUGAUGGUACACCC
Molecule: ribosomal RNA, 498 nt
Filed under: uncultured bacterium
Lineage: Bacteria
Description: bacterial SSU rRNA
Rfam family: Bacterial small subunit ribosomal RNA
Source: RNAcentral